CUUGGUCAUUUAGAGGAAGUAAAAGUCGUAACAAGGUUUCCGUAGGUGAACCUGCGGAAGGAUCAUUAUCGUAACAAAGACGUGGGAGGCUGUCGCCGACUUUGUGCACGCCUCUUGCGUGAAAUCCAUCUCACCCCUUUUGUGCACCACCGCGUGGGCUUUCCUCCUCGAGGCGGCUCGCGUUUUUCACACAAACCCCCUUUGUAAACGUCUGUAGAAUGUCCUCAUUUUGUUUGCGUUGACGCGCGAUCAAUACAACUUUCAACAACGGAUCUCUUGGCUCUCGCAUCGAUGAAGAACGCAGCGAAAUGCGAUACGUAAUGUGAAUUGCAGAAUUCAGUGAAUCAUCGAAUCUUUGAACGCACCUUGCGCCCCUUGGUAUUCCGAGGGGCACACCCGUUUGAGUGUCGUGAAAAUCUCAACCUCCUCAGUUUCUUCUGGAUCCCGAAGGAGGCUUGGACUUUGAAGGGCUUUGCUGGACUUUCAAAAGUUCAGCUCCUCUCAAAUGAAUUAGCGAGGUCCCCUUUGCCGAUCCUCGACGUGUGAUAAGAUGCUUCCACGUCUUGGUCUUUGGCUCUGUCGCCUCUUGGGACCUGCUUCCAAUCGUCUCUCGACGAGACAACGUUCGGGCAUGCCUCGACCACGUACCCUUGACCUCAAAUCGGGUGAGACUACCCGCUGAACUUAAGCAUAUCAAUAAGCGGAGGA
RNAcentral lists this ribosomal RNA (708 nucleotides) under uncultured fungus. RNAcentral's name for it is "eukaryotic LSU rRNA". The stretch from base 257 to 410 matches the Rfam family "5.8S ribosomal RNA". The record is from RNAcentral. Lineage: Eukaryota; Fungi.